This is an RNA transcript of Bombus pyrosoma, 4805 nucleotides long. It is a transcript of the gene named prostatic acid phosphatase-like, with no coding region annotated. The record is from RefSeq and is a predicted model, not a curated record. The transcript is spliced from 10 exons. Lineage: Eukaryota; Metazoa; Arthropoda; Insecta; Hymenoptera; Apidae.
UUAAUUAACGUGAUAUAAUAAAAAUCAUCUAAAUAUUAAUUAAUAAAAAAUGAAAGAAAGAUAGACGUUCUUCAACUCCACUAACGAUUUCUAUAAAUGUUAUAUUGAGAAACAAAUCUUUCUAUCGUAUUAUAAUAUAUCGUUCGUAUUAUAUAUAUCGAAAGAAGUUAACGGGAAUGAAUUCGAUCAACAAAUAAUUUAAGAAUUGAAGAUUGAAAAAUAAUAGAUCAAAGAGUUUAAAAAAAAGACCUUGGAAUUGGCUGUAGCGUUUUUUGGCUUCUUGCGACGGGAUUUCCGGGGUUUCGACACCGCCGUUUGACUACCCUCGUUUAUGCGAUCCACGGCUGAAGCGGUUUUCGUAUCUACAGGUCCAGGUCCUUUUAGUGAAAUCACGUCUUCGACGUUUCUGAUGAUUCUUAACUUCACGAAGACGCUUGCAUACGUAACUUUGAUUUUAAAGGUUUCUACUUAGCGAUUAAGAAUUUUCGGAUCGCGCUGAGGGAAAUCAAUCCUCGUAGAUGCCUAUAAAAACUUGUUCAGAGGAUAACGCGGUUGGAAGAUAUUUCGGUAAAACGAAUGAAUAUCCUGGUUGAUUAUGUCGUUGCCUUGACAAUAAAAAAUGACAAGAGACUGAUGUAGUAGACAAAUUCCGCUAAAAUGAGAGUAGGCAAGGUUUCUCGGAUUCAAAUACAAUGAUUUCUUUAACAUUUGUUAUAUCCUCGCAUUAAUGUAUUUUUCGUUUUCCUACAAUGUUGAUAUAAUAAUACUACAAUGAACAAAAUUUCAAAAGUAUAAUUUUUCGAUCGGUACUCCUGUAUUUUCGACCAGUCGCGGGGAGACACGAUCGCGAGGAAGCGCGCCAACGGGAGUAGUAAAUUCCCGGUACGAUUAUAAGAAUCGACACCACGAACAGAUCGAUCCCCUUAUUUCUUGUGGGAUAAUGGGGGUAAUUAAUUUGUAAUAACACUGUGAUUAACAGGUUAUAAACUAUAUAUUUUCAACAACUUAAUACACUAUAUUUACUCCGUUGCUUAUAAUACAAAUCUCAUAGAUGAUUCGUUGAUGUGUGCAAGACCGAUAGAGUUGUAUUGAAUGUUCGUAUGAGCAAGGCUCUGACAAUUGAAGAUAUGAAUGUCGUAGAAGCACUAGAACUCUUCUGAUGUUCUUUACGGGGUGAAUGAGUUUUAACUGUAGUGAUUGCUCUCUCUCGUGUUGAGAGCAAGUCAUGUGUUAACUGUACGAGUAUCAUAAAAACAGUGAAGUGCGUUCUCGUAGCAUUACGGAAGAAAGCUCAGUGUGGGUGUUCUUUUUGAACUAAGGACGCCGAUUCGUUGUUCACACUUUUUGUUAGGAAAGGGAGGGUAACGAUCUGCGAAUGGUUAUAGCCAAAGUUAAUAACUGAAGAUAAGAGGAAGAAGCCUCCUACCAACGUGGCUCGUGGGUGACCUUGUUCACCGUAAUUAGUACGAACGCCUAAUAAACCUAAGGACUGUUCCAGAGACCAUCCAUAAACCGAUAACACUUACAGGAACAACGAUUCCUUCAAGGUUGAUAGGAGUUAGUUAUGAAUACCAAGACAAAAGGCAAAUUAAAAGCCUAAGUUUAUGGUGAGUCUUUAGGUUUAUUGGGGAUCUGAAUAGCGGUGCAGACCCUUGGCGGCCAGGCAACUAGAGACGUCGCGCGGACCGUUCACGCGACGUAACAGCUCCUUUCAUAACGAGUACUCCUUUUAUAUCAUUUUAAUUUAUCUUCUUCAGUCUUUGAACUUUCAUUUUCUUUGAAAAUGUAUUUAAACUUUAAAGGAAUAUUCUGAUUAAUAUUUCUCUUUUUUUGUUUCGUUUUCUCAAACAUUAACAUUUAGAAAAGUCAUUUUUAACGUUCGUAAAAUAUUAACGCCAAGAAAUAGUCAUUAACUACGAUCAAGGUGAAGAUGACAAUUGCUAAUCAAGAAUUACAUAAGUAUCUACUAUCAUUAAUUAUUAUUAACUGUACAAUACAAUUGUCAAUUAUUAACAUUAUCCGCAUACUUGUUGAGUAUCGAUUCUAUUAUGUAUAAAAUAUUUUUUAAAAUAUUUUCUUAUAGCCAGCAGUGUUUAACAGUUACCGUAAUGACACUAUUACAUUUGCAUUUCAUUAAAAACAGGUUAGUACCGGUUUCGAUUAUUCGAUUUGUUCUUUUUUACGCAAUCACUUUUUAAUUUAUUAUUUAGUAAGAUCAAAUCCACAGCACCUGAGAACUGCUUCUCCAACGCUUCGAUGCAAUUCAUACAAUAGAAUAAUAUAUUCUAAUAUCUUUAAACUGUUCUAAUUUCAUACUAUCCACUUUUAAGGAUAUAUUACAAUAUAUUUUUAUUAGUACAUGUUCUUUAUAAAACAUGAAAUUCAAGAAUAAGAUAGUAUAACGUGACAAUAGAAAUUAUUGCAAGUCAAUGUGUGUAUUUUCGCACGUUCGCGGGGAGACGCGAUCUCGAAGAAGCGCGCCAACGGGAGUCGUAAAUUCCCGUUACGAUUGACCAAUCGACGCCACGAAUCGUACGAUCCCUUAUUUCUUAUGGGAUAAUAAGGGUGAUUAAUUGAAAUAACACUGCGGUUGACAGGUUACAAUAUAUUUAAUCGAUCCAACAACUUCGGUGAUACAAUGGUGAAUGCUUGUAUGAACAACGACGUGUGAGUACGGCCUGAGACUCUUUUAGUAUCGUUGCGUUGACUGAAUGUAUUCAACCGAACACUGGAUGAUGACUUGACCGAGAGAGACGUGGUGAUGACUGCUUGACCACUUGCUCGAUGAGUGCUGAACUGGAACUCCCGAGAAUUGUACUGGACUCGGAAUUGGAGAGAAUGAGAAACUGAACUCGACUCAAACAGAGACUGGAUUGAGACUUGGAGAGAGUGAGAAGGAGACUUGGAAUCAGAAUCAAACAGAGACUGAACUGAGACUGAGCUGGGAUCAGAAGGAGACUUGAAUGAGAGUUAGAAUCCGACUAGAACGAGACUGCUGAGCUGCCCUUAAGGUGUCUCGAAGGAAAGCUUGGUGUGGGUUUCACGAAAUGAUAACGAUACGCGAAGUAUCUGAAGUACGUGCGGGGAAUAUUCUACACUUAUAUAGUAUAGUUAAUAUGAAUGAAAUAAAUGUUGGACAUUUAAGUAUACAACAUAGACUUAUUGCAAGUAACAUUAUACUGUAUGAUACUGGUUUUCACAUGGUGGGGACAUAGGAUUCAUUUGCUGACUCUUGUUUAAGCACCAGUAUGCUUUCGUUCUGUUUACAGAAUAGCUCGUAGAAGUUCAGGUGUCAAUAGAAAUCUUGGGAAAAAAAUUAUAAUUCAAUAAUGAUUGUUUUUAAACUCUUUCUUUUCCUGAGUGUUAUCUGCUUAACUUUAGAAUUGCCUACACAAGUUGAAAACGUUGAGACAAGUAAUGAUGAAGAUAAUAAGGAUAUUGAAAGUGAUACCCUUCGACUAGUAACAGUGGUAAUGAGGCAUGGAGACAGAGCACCACAAGACACUUAUCCAAAUGAUCCUUAUAUCAAUAAUUCCAUGGAGCCUUAUGGUUGGGGUCAAUUAACAAAUGAAGGAAGAAGAAAUCAGUACAAUCAAGGUGCCUUCUUAAGGAAACAGUACAAUAAUUUUUUGGGUCCAGCUUAUAGCCCUAACAUAUUUUACUUGCAAUCCACUGCUGUUGACCGUACAAAAAUGUCUGCCAUGUUAGAAGCAGCAGCUUUGUGGAAACCAACUGAGGAACAGUCUUUUAAACGUGAUUUAGCUUGGCAACCUGUUACCUUAUUUUACCAACCACGUUCGGAAGAUAGGUUAAUGUUAAUAUGGGAUACAUGUCCAAAAUAUACUAAAUUACGACAUGCAAUUACGAACUUGACAGAAGUUCAACGAAUUCAAGACGAAAAUAAACAACUCUACGAAGAAUUGACGAAUUUAACGGGUAUGGUGAUUUCAACUCCCGGUGAUGUGAGUUCACUUUACGGAACUUUAACAGCAGAGAAACAUAUGAACUUGACUCUUCCCGAGUGGACUAAAGAUUAUUAUCCUGAUAAACUAAUACCGCUUACGUUAUACGAUUUUCAACUUAAUGUGUAUAAUGAUGAUCUUAAGAAACUUAAAGGAGGACCUUUUCUAAAAAAGAUUGUUAACGAUAUGUUAGCGAAAAAAGAUAAUAUUUUGGAACCUGAAGAAAGAAAAAUGUUUAUGUAUGUUGGUCAUGACAGUACUAUUGUAACUUUAAUGGAUCUUAUGCAUGUAUGGAACAAUCAAAUGCCACAUUAUAAUAUUAUGGUAAUGAUUGAGUUGCAUGAAAAAAACGGUGGAUGGAAUGUUCAGAUGUUUUUAAAAAAUAGCACUGAACAUAAACCAUAUCUUCUGAAUGUUCCUGGAUGUACAACAGUAUGUCCUCUUGAAAAGUUAGUACAGAUUUUAAAACCAAUGAUUCCAGAUAAUUGGGAUGAAGAGUGUAAAGUCGAUGGAGACUAUACUCCUCCAUCUGCCCCGCUUCCUUGACUAUAGUUAUUUGGUUUAUGUUGAGCAUCUGGAUGAUUUAGUAAUUCAGGUGGACAAGUAGAUAUAGGACUUGCAAGAAUAGUUUGCUUCAGAUCAUAGAACAGAUGACUAUCGUCUUUGGUACAGAAUGAAAUGGCAAGACCAGCUUUUCCAGCACGUCCAGUUCUACCAAUACGAUGCGUGUAGUCUACAAACACGUGAAAAAGAAGCAAGUGCAUACUCUCUUUGUUCUUGUCCUUUACCACCAUGAAGAGUGCAAGCAUUAUACUGAAAAAUGAAAUAAAAUAUUACACCAAA